Molecule: unclassified non-coding RNA, 329 nt
Filed under: soil metagenome
Description: partial contains 5.8S ribosomal RNA, internal transcribed spacer 2, and large subunit ribosomal RNA
Rfam family: 5.8S ribosomal RNA (bases 1-120)
Source: RNAcentral
GAUGAAGAACGCAGCGAAAUGCGAUAAGUAGUGUGAAUUGCAGAAUUCAGUGAAUCAUCGAAUCUUUGAACGCACAUUGCGCCCCUUGGUAUCCCGAGGGGCAUGCCUGUUCGAGCGUCAUUUCACCUCUCAAGCCUGGCUUGGUGUUGGGCGACGUCCCCUUUGGGGACGCGCCUCGAAACGCUCGGCGGCGUGGCACCGGCUUUAAGCGUAGCAGAAUCUUUCGCUUUGGAAGUCGGGGCCCCGUCUGCCGGAAGACCUACUCGCAAGGUUGACCUCGGAUCAGGCAGGGAUACCCGCUGAACUUAAGCAUAUCAAUAAGCGGAGGA